Amphiprion ocellaris (clown anemonefish) is the source of this 2751-nucleotide long non-coding RNA. RefSeq lists it as uncharacterized. Lineage: Eukaryota; Metazoa; Chordata; Actinopteri; Pomacentridae. The record is from RefSeq and is a predicted model, not a curated record. The transcript has 4 exons.
AGGCACGGACCACUGUUGUCUCACAUCAGCUCUCAUAACAGCUCCGGGAAGACCUCCCUCAACCUCACGCCUCGCAUGGAGCAGAUCUAAUUGCUGGACCAUAUUUUGGCCAGGUAGACUGUACAUCUGGUUGCCUGGCAACAUCAUUCAGACGACAAGACAACUAAUUCAGGAUGUCUGAGGGGGCGGAGCCAAAUCAUUACGACAUCAGACUCACCUGGACUGAUCACCUGAGAACUACUUAACCUGUCACUCGGUCUGAUUGAUUCUUCUGUUCUGGUUUUAUCUGGUGUGUUUGUCCAACCUGCAGCUCAGGUCCCUCUCUAUCUCCCCACACAUCCACCAACCACUGGAACACAUCUCCAAAGUUCUGCCAGGCCAGCUCAGCUUCCCCUCAGAAGAAGUGCUGCCACCUGCCAGAUGAAGGAGCCUUUUGAGAGGCAGCUGGCAUCGUGAUUGGACUGUACUUUGGUCUGUUCCAAUCCAGCUUCAGCUCCAGAGACGGCAGGCGGGACGAGUCAACGGAGGCCUGGUGGACGAAGGCAUGCAGCUGAGUACAAUCCAGAAAACAACAGAGGAGGAGUGCAGUGGCCCAGGGCCAGAACAACCAGAGUAGCAUCGUAUGUCUCUUAGAAAACAUCAUAGUAUAGCCUUUGGUAUGAAAAAAACGGCAUCAUAUACAUCGUAUAUUGUACAAAUAACAAGUCAAAGGAAAGAGACAUACAUUGUAGAAUUGUAGUAAUUGUGGGCUGACUGAUUUACUGAUUAUCAGUAUUUUAUUUUUUACUGAUUUACAGUAAUAAAUCAAUUUAAAAAUGGUGCUACUUUGGCUCUGAACCUUUAUCUACCUGUGGUCGCUCUGUCUUCUGGAGUGAUUUGAUUGGUUAUACGUCACGAAUAAAACUCCUUUAACUUAACAUCUGUAAACAAAACAAAAACGUAUCAACAAAGUUUUCUGUUAGAGUUUGUGUUCUUCUAAGUUUAACUCCAAGAUUUUAAAUACUUUCAUUUACUGCAAAUGAAUAUCUACUCCAAAUGUCUCACUAAUAAUCAUUAUCAGCCUUAAAAACCCACAAAACACCCCUCUAUACUCGACCACACUUAGUACAGUCCGGUUCCCCCUUCUAUAAAUCUGCUUGGAAUCUUCCACUUCCUGUUUGUCAAAGUGGCCUUCUACCUGGACAGGUUUUGUUGGAGCUCAUGCAACAAACAUUUUGGGUAACUGCACUUUAACAUGGAUGGAUGACACUGAAUUAGAGUCUGUUUUCAUGAGACUGAGUUAAGAUGUGUAGCUCUGUCAUUAAAUAGUAAAUUAUUUCUCAGAAUUCACAGAGAAAAGUCUGAAAUGUUUGCUAGGUUAGCGUCCCACAUGUUCUUUGGCUCAGCUAAAGCUAACUCUCUCCAACUUGUGGAUCUCUUGAGUUGCUUGUUGUUAAAAUAUCUUGCUAGAGGUGCUGAAGCUCAGAAAGUCUGAGAUGUUUGUUCAAAAUAAGCUCAUUCUCAAGUCUUAUCUGAACUGUCCUCUUUUGUUUGAACUUUCCCUAAACUUAGGAGUUAAUGACAGAGCAGCACAUCCAGACUCAGUCUCAUUUAUGUAGCGAUUAAACUUCAGUGUCAUUCAUUGAUGUUAAAGUGCAGUUUUUCAAAUGUUUGUUGCACAUGCUCCCGACCAAACCAGUCCAGGUGGAAGACGAUGUGAAGAGAAAGCUCCAGAGGAUGAAUAUCACACAUUUACGUUGGAAAUAAAUGUCCUUUAAUUAGACAUUGUCAUGCAAAAGUUGGAUUUCCCUUUAAUGAUGUUCAAAUCUUUGUUGAGUGUUUUGUUGAUGUUGGUUUCUAAAUGUUUUCUGACACUCGGCCCCAAAGAUUAAAACCUUCUACGGCUCACAAGCUGCAACAAUUCACACAUUAUCAACUAUCUUUCUGACUAAACUAAGAUAAAAAGUGAAAAACUGCCUGAUUCCUGCAUCAUGAAUGUAAAUCUUUUUGGUUUUUAUGACAGUAAACUGAAUAUAUUUGGGUUUGACAUUUUAUAAACCAAAACAAGAAAUGAAUUACUGGAAAAAACAAUCAACAGAUUAAUGGACAAAGAAAAUGUGUUUUCCAAUAUAUAUGGCUGAAUUACUCCAACAUUACAAGAUACGUACAAUCUUAAUUCAAUUUUAUUUCUAUAAUGCCAAUUACAGGUCAAAUUGUCUCAAGACGCUUUAUUUUUAUAUUUUUUUGUAUUUUUUAAAAAUAUGACAAAGUAAGAAAUUUAAAGCUCUUGACUAAUCCAAUUUAUUAUUUGUUUUUUAAGAGACUAAUGGACAAUUAAAAUAAGUUUCUCCACUAAAACUAAUAAACAUGAGGUCAAAUAGAAGGAAGAGUUUUAAAUACUGCAGUCCCACCACGACAAGAAUAAAGUUUGUCAAGAAAAACUAAAUCUGCUGAUGGAUUCCAUUAAAGUCCUAAUAAAUGAUAAUAAAGUGUGAUACUAAAGGUUUGUGGUGCUAAAAAUGUCAAAGUAAAGAUAUGAAGUUGAACAUCUGGAUGGAGGUUGAUAAAAGUUGACCUCCCUUCAUUUCUCUGGAGUCGACUCCAUGGAUUUUAUGGAUGGUGGUUAAAGACCUGCUCUUCUAGUCGUCUUCCUUCUAGUCGCUGUAAAAAGUCAGUCCAUCCUCGCCGACUUCAACACCUCUUCAUGACAGCUUGUUCUGCCUCCGACCUCGUGGAAACUCCAGAAACUCGGGAAAACCUGUGGAGACUCGA